Molecule: long non-coding RNA, 213 nt
Filed under: Lathyrus oleraceus (garden pea)
Lineage: Eukaryota; Viridiplantae; Streptophyta; Magnoliopsida; Fabales; Fabaceae
Description: Pisum sativum (pea) long non-coding RNA (PSAT_LNC016860)
Source: RNAcentral
UUGAAUACCAAGAACAGACGAACAAUUUGCACUCUGAUGGGAUAAUAAUUAACAACGCCUGUCAGCAUCGGCGAAGAAACAAACUUUGAACAAAAAUCCGUCUGGUACGGAGAAAAUCGGUCUGAACACCGCACAUCCCCUCGGGAGUAUUAUUCUUUCUUCUUAUUCUUUUCUUGAACCCCGAAAUUUUCUUUAUCUUUUUUCAUUUUCUUG